CGUUGAUUUACAGCUGCGGUGGGCGGGGCUUAGAGUUGCUCAACAUGUCUGCGCCCUGAUCAACAGGUCUGAAGAUGUCCAAUCCGCAGCUGAGUAUCGGGGAGCUCCUCCUCUCAUUGGACAGCUCAGAGCUGCAGGAGGCUGAGCUAGUGAGAGCAGCUGUGAACCAGCAGCUGAGCUCAGACAGAGGAGGCGCUGUCCUCUCCUCUCUGGUGGAGUUCUACCUGGACUCCUCCUCUCCCCAGGUGCUCCUCCUCCUCUCCUCCAUCAGAG
Molecule: long non-coding RNA, 273 nt
Organism: Notothenia coriiceps (black rockcod)
Lineage: Eukaryota; Metazoa; Chordata; Actinopteri; Perciformes; Nototheniidae
Exons: 3
Source: RefSeq, a predicted model, not a curated record